RNAcentral lists this ribosomal RNA (460 nucleotides) under uncultured bacterium. Its description in RNAcentral is "partial 16S ribosomal RNA". It matches the Rfam family "Bacterial small subunit ribosomal RNA", at positions 338 to 795 of the family's 1533-position model. The record is from RNAcentral.
CCUACGGGUGGCUGCAGUGAGGAAUAUUGGUCAAUGGACGAGAGUCUGAACCAGCCAAAUAGCGUGAAGGAUGACUGCCCUAUGGGUUGUAAACUUCUUUUAUAUGGGAAUAAAACGUUCCACGUGUGGGAUUUUGUAUGUACCAUAUGAAUAAGGAUCGGCUAACUCCGUGCCAGCAGCCGCGGUAAUACGGAGGAUCCGAGCGUUAUCCGGAUUUAUUGGGUUUAAAGGGAGCGUAGGUGGAUUGUUAAGUCAGUUGUGAAAGUUUGCGGCUCAACCGUAAAAUUGCAGUUGAAACUGGCAGUCUUGAGUACAGUAGAGGUGGGCGGAAUUCGUGGUGUAGCGGUGAAAUGCUUAGAUAUCACGAAGAACUCCGAUUGCGAAGGCAGUUCACUGGACUGCAACUGACACUGAGGCUCGAAAGUGUGGGUAUCAAACAGGAUUAGAUACCCUUGUAGUC